CCUACGGGAGGCAGCAGUGGGGAAUAUUGCACAAUGGGGGAAACCCUGAUGCAGCGACGCCGCGUGAGUGAAGAAGUAUUUCGGUAUGUAAAGCUCUGUCAGCAGGGAAGAAAAUGACGGUACCUGACCAAGAAGCCCCGGCUAACUACGUGCCAGCAGCCGCGGUAAUACGUAGGGGGCAAGCGUUAUCCGGAUUUACUGGGUGUAAAGGGAGCGUAGACGGGAGGGCAAGUCUGAAGUGAAAGGCGGGGGCUCAACCCCCGUACUGCUCUGGAAACUGCCAGGCUGGAGUGCAGGAGAGGUAAGGGGAAUGCCUAGUGUAGCGGUGAAAUGCGUAGAUAUUAGGAGGAACACCAGUGGCGAAGGCGGCUUACUGGACUGUAACUGACGUUGAGGCUCGAAAGCGUGGGGAGCAAACAGGAUUAGAUACCCCUGUAGUC
Molecule: ribosomal RNA, 440 nt
Filed under: uncultured bacterium
Lineage: Bacteria
Description: partial 16S ribosomal RNA
Rfam family: Bacterial small subunit ribosomal RNA
Source: RNAcentral